CGUGUUCACAGCGAGGUCCUUGAUUCGUGUUACAAUAAUUAAGGCACGCGGUGAAUGCCAA
Molecule: microRNA precursor, 61 nt
Filed under: Xenoturbella bocki
Lineage: Eukaryota; Metazoa; Xenacoelomorpha; Xenoturbellidae
Description: Xbo-Mir-124_pre stem-loop
Rfam family: mir-124 microRNA precursor family
About the family: The mature ~21nt miRNAs are processed from hairpin precursor sequences represented here, in this case originating from the 3' arm.
Source: RNAcentral